Molecule: transfer RNA, 76 nt
Filed under: Acetobacter sp.
Lineage: Bacteria; Pseudomonadati; Pseudomonadota; Alphaproteobacteria; Acetobacterales; Acetobacteraceae
Also listed under: 10 other names
Description: tRNA-His
Rfam family: tRNA
About the family: Transfer RNA (tRNA) molecules are approximately 80 nucleotides in length.
Source: RNAcentral
GCGGACGUAGCUCAGCUGGUAGAGCGCCGGUUUGUGGUACCGGUGGUCGCGGGUUCGAGCCCCGUCGUUCGCCCCA